AUAACCCAUCAUCUCUCUACCCAAUCCACCCCAAACCCUGGCUGUAGUCGCCCAUUGACCUCAACCCACCCCAACCCUCGCCGUCACAGCAAGACGAAUUUGAAGUCCGCCAUCACUGGCAGGGGCGGAGGUUCCUUGUCAUCGUCGGCUCCGAUUAGAAGAUCAAAGGUCGUGGCUUCUGCAAAGGGGCUAACGCAGAUCGUGAUUCCCCCAUGGCUGGUCGUUUCGAUUAUUUCCAUUCCGAGGGUGGCCCUAGCUCCGAACGAUGAUUGAAGCCCAUGGCAAAGGAAAUCUGAAGCCCCAUCAAAUUGAGGCUAAGUUUGAAUCACUCUACAAAGACACCCAAAAGAAACUCCAUGAUGGAGCUUUCGGCGAGGUUCUCAAAUCAACCCAGGUAAUUUAGACCACCUUAAAUAUUCUAAAUAGUAUUUUUAACAUUUUUUAUUUGGAUAUAUUUGCACAGAAAUUAUUUUUUUUAAUAUUAUUAAGAUUAGUCAUGAAUUGAAUCUAUAUAAUUACAACAAAGAUGGAAAAUACUAAAUUUCAAUCUGCAAAAAUACUAAAUUACGGCAAACCUGCAUAUUACAAAUAAAUUAAGGUGAGUUUUGGUUGUUCUUAAUUAGAGGAUUACAAUCUCUAUGAUAUGCAAAGCUGCAUAUUACAAAUAAAUUAGAAUAAAAAAAUUUAACCAAUGUGAAAAUUAUGGAAUGAAAAAACGUUACCAUUCUUAGAAAUGUAACCGUUAUUAAUAAAAAAAAAAGAAAAAAUGAUACAUUAAUAUGUAUGUUAUAAUAAAAUAUUCUAAAUAAUAUUUUUAGCAUUUUUGAUUUGGAUAUACUUACACUGAAAUCAUUUUUUAAUAUUGUUAAGAUUAGGCAUAAAUUGAAUUAUUAUUAUAGCAAAGUUGAAAAAUACUAAAUUUCAAUCUGCAAAAAAUCCUAAAUUACAGCAGAACUGUAUAUUACAAAUAAAUUAAGGUGAGUUUCGGUUGUUCUUAAUCAGAGGAUUACAAUCUCUAUGAUAUGUAAAGCUGCAUAUAUUACAAAUAAAUUAGAAUAAAAAAAUGUAACCAUUCUUAGAAACGUAACCAUUAUUAAUAAAAAAAGAAAAAAUGAUGCAUUAAUAUGUAUGUUAUAAUUAAAUAUUCUAAAUAAUAUUUUUAGCAUUUUUGAUUUGGAUAUAUUUGCACAGAAAUAAUUUUUUUUUAAUAUUGUUAAGAUUAGGCAUGAAUUAAAUUAUUAUUGUUACAGCAAAGUGGAAAAAAAUGGAAAAUAUUAAAUUUCAAUCUGUAAAAGUACUAAAUUACAGCAAAUAUGAAAUGAUUACAGCAAAGAUUUGGUGGCUAUUUUGUUAUAAUAUAUAUAUAUAUAGAUAGAUAUAGAUUCGAUUAUAAUAAUUUUAGCAAUAUUUAUGCAUUAAUAUGUAUGUUAUAAUUAAAUAUUCUAAAUAGUAUUUUUAGCAUUCUUUAUUUGGAUAUAUUUACAGAAAAAUCAUUUUUUUAAUAUUAUUAAGAUUAGGCAUGAAUUGAAUUAUUAUUAUUAUUAUAGCAAAGAUGAAAAAUACUAAAUUACAACAAAGCUGCAUAUUACAAAUAAAUUAAGGUGAGUUUCGGUUGUUCUUAAUCAGACGAUUACAAUCUCUAUGAUAUGCAAAACUGUAUAUUAUAAAUAAAUUAGAAUAAAAAAAUGUAACAAAUGUGAAAAUUAUGGAAUGAAAAAACGUAACCAUUCUUAGAAAUAUAACCAUUAUUAAUAUAAAAAAAGAAAAAAUGAUGCAUUAAUAUGUAUGUUAUAAUUAAAUAUUUUAAAUAAUAUUUUUAGCAUUUUUUAUUUGGAUAUAUUUGCACAGAAAUCAUUUUUUUUAAUAUUGUUAAGAUUAGGUAUGAAUUGAAUUAUUAUUAUUAUUAUUAUGUGAAUUGAAUUAUUAUUAUUAUAGAAAAAGUGAGAAAAAAUGAAAAAUACUAAAUUUCAAUAUGUAAAAAUACUAAAUUACAACAAAUAUGAAAAAACUAUACCAAAAAUACUAUCAUUAAAUCUGCAUAUUAAAAUAAAAAAUAUGAAUAAAAAUUAGACAAUGUAACCAAUCUUUAUUAGAUGAUUACAAUAUUUGUAAUAUGCAAAACUGCACAUUACAAAUAAAUUAGAAUACAAAAUGUAACUGAUGUGAAAAUUAUGAAAUUAAAAAAAGUAACCAUUCUUAGAAAUGUAAUCAUUAUUAAUAAAAAAUAAAAAAUAAUAAAAGUAUAAAAUUAUCCAUUUUUGAUCUAGAACGAUAAAAAAAAAAAGAAUUUAGACGUACCUCCCUAUCGUGAAAAACAAUUUCAAACGUGUUCACCUCGUCGACGUUAUCAUAUAGAGGCUUCUCAUAAUGUCGCAUAACCCGCAACUUCAUUGCCCAUUGAGUUUUGUUUGAGUUAAUAUCGGAUACCAAGUUGAAUAUCGGCGCCAUGCUCGUACUAUGUUGUUUAGGACUUGAGAACGGGUAAAUAAGAAAAAAAAAUUACAUAAGUACAAUGUAAACACAAUAAUCUUUAGAAAUGUUUUAGGUAGACAAAAGAAAUGCCAUUAAAACAUGACUCACCGUAAUGCAAUUCCAAAUGACAAAGAAAUGAGAAGUACGUGGGAAAUGAAGACACAGUUUCUGGUAUAUAUAUAAAUUUUCAAAAUAUGGCACUUAUUAAUCAAUGUGUUACCCGAGACAACCCACUGCACAACCAAAUGUGCAGUGGAAAUUGAAAAGCCAGCUACACACCAUCCAAUGGUAUACUUAUGCACUCUGCCGGCUAUGACAGUGUUCGGGUAUACACUUGUUUAAUUUCCUUUCUCUGCUGAAAAUUUCACAUUUAUUUCUUGGAGUUUAUCUUGAUUUUGGAUUGUGUUUAGGCUAUAAAUUCAUUGCUUAAUUGUGUAUAUUGGUUGGGAUAAUUAUUGGUGGCUUUUGGGUUGUCUCCACUAUGGUACCCGAGACAACCCACUGCAGUGGAAAUUGAGAAGGUAGCUGCACACUAUCCAAUGGUACAUCUCUGCAUCUUGCUGGCUAUGAUAGUAUUCAAGUACAUUUGUUUAAUUUCUCUUCUCUGCUAGAAAUUUCACAUUUAUUUUUUGGAGUUUAUCUUGGUUUUGGAUUGUGUUUAAGCUAUGACUCCAUUGAUUAAUUAUGUAUAUUGGGAUUAUUAUUGGUGGUUUUUUGGUUAUCUUCACUGUGGUACCCGAGACAACCCAUUGUACAACCAAAUGUGCAGUGGAAAUUGAAAAGGCAGCUACACACCAUCCAAUGGUACACUCAUGCACUUUGCUGACUAUAACAGUGUUCAGGUAUACAUUUGUUUAAUUUCCUUUCUCUGCUGGAAAUUUCACAUUUAAUUUGUUUAAUUUUCUUUAUCUGCUGGAAAUUUCAUAUUUCUUUCUUAUAGUUUAUCUUGAUUUUAGAUUGCGUUUAGGCUAUAACUCCACUGAUUAAUUAUGUAUAUUAGGAUUAUUAAUCAGUGGAGUUUGGGUUGUCUCUAUUGUGGUAGCUGAGACAACCCACUGCACAACCAAAUGUGCAGUGGAAAUUGAAAAGGCAACUACACACCAUCCAAUGGUACACUUAUGCACUUUGCCGGCUAUGACAGUAUUCAAGCUAUAACUCCAGUGCUUAAUUGUGUAUAUUGGUUGGGAUUAUUACACCAUCAAAUGGUACACUUAUGCAUUUUGUCGGCUAUAUAUAUAUAUUAUAUAUAUAUUAUAUCACUUAAAUAUUAUAUAUCACUUAAAUCAAAUCAAGUUCACCUUACUUGUCCCAUACAUGUUGCGUGAAAUCACACCAUUUAAUCCAUGAAACUUGCAGGGGAAUGGGAUGCAAUUCGAGACUCAGGGCUUCUCACGCGGCACACUGCUACGCUCAGACUAUAUAUAUAUAUAUAUUGCACUAUAUUAAUAGAAAAAUUAUACUUUGAGGCCUCACAUUUCAUCUUAAAUUCAUUAGAACAAUUGCUUAAUUGCAAUUACAUCCUCCAACACUGAAUUAGAUUGCAUUCAGAUACUGAAAAUCCAAAAUUAAUAAUUUAAAGUUUAGUUAAAAAUGACGAUUUCGCCCCAGUGUCUUCACUGGGCUAUCGUUUCAUCCCGAAACUAUUGAAGGGUUGUUCAUUACGCAAAACCGGAGCCCCUAGGGUUUCGUUGAUUUUUUCGGGAGUCUCCUACGACAAUUCGAUUUUAUAGCCUAAAUAACAGCUGUAUUUUAGCUGUACCGAAAAUUGUUUCCGAUCCGAUUUCUUUUGAUACCAUAAAUCUUAUCUCAGGACGCUCAUUGAGACCAUAUAAUUUUCCUUAGAGAAUUUCACUCCGAGGCAUUCCCUGCAAUUGAUUUAAUACUUAUAACUGUUAUCAAGCCAAUUUUUUGGUAUUCUAAACUUAUUAAAAUUACGUGGCAACCUUAUCUAAACAUGGGGUAUUACACAGCCAGCUCACGCGGUCGCGCGCACACGCAUAGGAGCAGUAGGUCGCGGGUUCGAGCUUGGAGGCGGUCGCGCACGCAGUGAGGGAAUUGCUGAUUUUUCAGCAAAGCCUAGCCCCAAAAUGACGUCAUUUUGGGGCAAGGCGGUGGCUAAAUUCAGCUGCCACGCGGCAGCUUCUGGCGACCUCAUUCUUCAGCUUUUUAACUCCCGAUUUUGGGAGUAAUUCACAGUGGAAUCGAGCAACAACCAGAGAGUAGAAGAAGAAGAAAAUUGGGGAGAAAAGAUGGCGCACAGAAGCUAAGAAAUUGGAGAAAAUUUGGUAUAAAUUACAGGUAAACUUAGUUUAAUUAAAGAUUAAAUUAGCUGGGGAAGUAGGAAAAUUAUAUUGAGAGUAUUGUAUGGUUGAAAUUUUAUUUAGGCUUCGAUUUUAUUAAUUUUGAUCGAAUUAAGCUAAUUUGCAGUGUGUAUUAAUUUAGCGGCGUGUGGGCGUAUAAUCACCGAAAUCAGUUAAUUUAGGGCAAGCUCUUACUUCUUUCGUGAUUCUCAAUCGAUUUAUGAAUUCUAUAUCCUUCCUCAACCCGAUUUGGUUAUAGUUUCCUGUGGGCGUGAGUGGUAAUGACAAACGGUGUGAGCUGUCGUUUGGUGAGGUAACGUUUUGUCUGUUUGUGAUACUGGAGCGAAUCGUCAUCGGGCCGAGGGCGGCUGUUGACCGGUUGUUCCUAGUCACAGAUUGUCGACCGGUACUUGAUCACUGUCGAUCGGUUCUGCCAUUAUGUGGCAUAUUGCGUGACAUUAUAGUGCAUGAGAUUGGGCUUACAUUCAUUAGGGGUCAUGCUUUAUAUGUACGGGGAAGUGUGCUCAUUGGCAUAAUCCGAUUGGCCUGUUGAGUGACAAUUUGGGUACGAUAGGCGAGCAUAUGCAUUUAGAGCAUUUUGCUUGUGUGGGUUCUUAUAUGGGCGUAGCAUAGCCUGAUGCUUGGCUUAUGGGAGUUUUGUCAUCACGUUAAUGCUGCAAGAGCCAUUGCAUUUCUUAUCUGUUGCAUCGCGUGGUUACCUUUUGACUUAGUAUAUGAUUGUGGCUUGUGGUAUGGAGUUGACCCUCGAUAGCUAUGAGUGUGAGCUAGGCUCCAGAUAGCUAUGACAUGGGGACUCCGGUACGUGACUGUGAUGAGAGCUUCAGGCUCGUGUGGAUCGUGUUGUGGGAGCUUCGGGCUCAUGGGUUUUAUGUCUACCAGUUUAUGGCUGUGGCAGGUUUGUAUGUUGGGACUUGGGUGCUAGGAUGUGUAUUUCUUACGUGGGCCCCAAGAACUAUUAUGUGCAUUGCUAUAUUUAUGUGGAUUACGGGAUUCUUUAUUUCACGGUAUGGCAUGGCAUGAUCAUAUGAUGCAUUGCACUUUGUGCGGGUGUAUUCUGGGUGGGAUGUGUCCCUAGUUUUGUUUUUGUUAUAUAGCGAGGUGUACUCAAUUGUGGUUUAUUUCUGGAUUAACUUUGUCUAGCGAGACCUAUAUCGAGUAUGGCUAUUUCUGAUUUUAGUUUGUCUUACCUGUUGAUAGUGGGAUGUGUUCCGGUGUGGGAGAUCUAUGCUUAGCUUUACCUCCAUUAUUUUAUUAUGCUUGCUGAGCCUUGUGGCUCAUCUAGUUUUUACCAUCAUUCCAAGAGUAGGAGCUGACGCAGUGGUUAAACUAUUUGGCG
Long non-coding RNA from Diospyros lotus (date-plum), 6129 nucleotides. RefSeq lists it as uncharacterized. The transcript is spliced from 3 exons. Lineage: Eukaryota; Viridiplantae; Streptophyta; Magnoliopsida; Ericales; Ebenaceae. The record is from RefSeq and is a predicted model, not a curated record.